CUCCCCACAGUCACUGAGCACACAGGACCUCACCAUGGGAUGGAGCUGGGUCGUCCUCUUCCUGGUGGCAGCAGCUACAGGUGUCCACUCCCAGGUCCAGCUGCAGCAGUCUGGGGCUGAGGUGGGGAGACCUGGGGCCUCAGUGAAGCUGUCCUACAAGACUUCUGGAUACACCUUCACCAGCUACUAUAUGAGCUGGGUGAAGCAGAGACCUGGACAGGGGCUGGAGUGGAUUGGAAGGAUUUAUCCUGGAGAUGGUGAUACUGACUACGCUCAGAAGUUCCAGGGCAAGGCCACACUGACUGUAGACACAUCCUCCAGCACAGCCUACAUGGAGCUCCGCAGCCUGACAUCUGAGGACUCUGCGGUCUAUUACUGUGCGAGGCACAGUGCUGCACCCACAUCCUGA
Non-coding RNA from Psammomys obesus (fat sand rat), 409 nucleotides. The record is from the annotation of a RefSeq genome assembly. Lineage: Eukaryota; Metazoa; Chordata; Mammalia; Rodentia; Muridae.